AGCAGCGUGGCUCAGUGGAAAGAGCAUGGGCUUGGGAGUGAGGGGUCAUGGGUUCGAAUCCCAACCCUGCCA
This 72-nucleotide transfer RNA is filed under the name Ornithorhynchus anatinus (platypus). It matches the Rfam family "tRNA". From Rfam's summary of the family: Transfer RNA (tRNA) molecules are approximately 80 nucleotides in length. Their secondary structure includes four short double-helical elements and three loops (D, anti-codon, and T loops). Lineage: Eukaryota; Metazoa; Chordata; Mammalia; Monotremata; Ornithorhynchidae. The record is from Rfam by way of RNAcentral.